CCGACACGGAGUGUGACUUGUCUUAUAUAAUUGUAUGGAAUAUUGAUUAUAUAUAUCAAUUGAUAGAAGCCAUUUUCGCGGAGACUGGAGGCCGAUCGGCAGUAAAGCUAAGCUACAAAUGGGAGAAUCCAGUGCAGAAAUAGCAAAGGAUGUAACUGAAUUGAUUGGAAAAACCCCACUGGUGUAUCUCAAUAAGGUAGUAAAUGGCUGUGGAGCCCGGAUUGCUGCGAAGCUUGAGAUGAUGGAACCUUGCUCCAGCGUCAAGGAUAGGAUUGGAUACAGCAUGAUUGCUGAUGCGGAGGGGAAGGGUCUUAUCACACCAGGACUGAGUGUCCUGAUUGAGCCAACUAGUGGUAACACUGGUAUUGGACUGGCUUUCAUAGCUGCUGCCAAGGGUUACAAGCUCAUUCUUACAAUGCCCGCCUCAAUGAGUAUUGAGCGAAGGAUCAUUCUUAAAGCUUUUGGUGCGGAAUUGGUUCUCACUGAUCCAGUUUUGGGAAUGAAAGGUGCUGUUCAAAAGGCUGAAGACCUUGCUGCAAAGACACCUAAUUCUUAUAUUCUUCAGCAGUUUGAAAAUCCUGCUAACCCCAAGAUUCAUUAUGAGACAACUGGACCAGAGAUCUGGAAAGGAACUGGUGGAAAGGUGGAUAUGUUGGUUUCUGGUAUUGGAACAGGAGGCACAAUUACUGGUACAGGAAAGUAUCUCAAGGAACAAAAUCCCAACAUUAAGCUUUAUGGUGUGGAGCCAGUUGAAAGUCCUGUGUUAUCUGGAGGAAAGCCUGGUCCCCAUAAAAUCCAGGGGAUUGGAGCUGGUUUUGUCCCUGGUGUUUUGGAUGUUGAUCUCGUCGAUGAAGUUAUUCAAGUCACAAGUGAUGAAUCCAUUGAAAUGGCAAAGCUUCUUGCACUCAAAGAAGGUCUGCUGGUAGGAAUAUCAUCUGGUGCUGCUGCCGCGGCAGCCAUUAAGAUUGCACAGAGGCCAGAAAACAAAGGAAAACUCAUUGUGGUCGUCUUCCCCAGCUUCGGCGAACGUUACCUUUCGUCUGUGCUCUACCAGUCAAUCAAGAAAGAAGCUGAGAACAUGGUUUUUGAGCCAUGAAGUUUCUUUGUGCGCCAAGAAUCCUUAUCCAAGCAAUUCGACGAAAGCAGCCGGAAGGCUCUACCCUACUGCAAUUGUCCUUAGAAAGAUGACAAGAGUGCGAGGAGCCACAGCCACAUCAAUAGCAAUUGUUCUUCUUCAGACAAAAUCUACAUACAUAUCACUAUCCUUCCUCUCUAUCAAAUUGCAAACCUUGCAUAAGAAAUGAUUACUACUUGGCGGUGAUGAUCAAACAGCUACCUGAAGAGACUCCAAGGAGACCACAACAUCCCUCAUCAGAGGCCUUGCCUUGAGGUUGUGAUUGAGGCAGUGGCUGGCCAACCAUGCCACCCUCUGAGCAGCUUUCUCAGGGUAGUUUUUCCCUAGCUUGGGAUCCACAAUGGCAAACACUCUCUGUCUCUUGGUCAGAUAUGGCCCUGCCCAAUCCACUAGUGUCUGCUCGCCCGCCGGCCGACACUUGUCCAGCGACCUCUUCCCCGUGAGGAACUCCAGCAGCACGACUCCGAAGCUGUAAACAUCGCUCAUCGCCGUCAGAUGACCUACAAACACCAAGAGUUCACAUCCAGUUCCACUUGGUAAACUGAACCAACACAAUUGUAAAUAGAGAGUUUCAAACUGAAGUUUCAUGUACCCGUCUUCAAAUAUUCUGGUGCUGCAUAGCCACAAGUCCCCAUUAUUCUAGUUGAAACAUGAGAUAUGUCCCCUACUGGACCAUUCUUUGCGAGGCCAAAGUCUGAAAGCUUUGCAUUGUAAUCCUAAGUGUAGAAAUGAUGAGGAAAAAAUAUCUAUAAGAUGUUCCAUGCAUUGAGAA
This is an RNA transcript of Zingiber officinale, 1907 nucleotides long. It is a transcript of the gene named cysteine synthase-like, with no coding region annotated. The transcript has 12 exons. Lineage: Eukaryota; Viridiplantae; Streptophyta; Magnoliopsida; Zingiberales; Zingiberaceae. The record is from RefSeq and is a predicted model, not a curated record.